AGAAAGUUAGUCUAAACAAGACAAUUGAUUUCGACUCAAUAAAUCAUAGUUCUACCCUAUGACUUUCUC
RNAcentral lists this transfer RNA (69 nucleotides) under Sarothrura ayresi (White-winged flufftail). RNAcentral describes it as "tRNA-Arg". It matches the Rfam family "tRNA". From Rfam's summary of the family: Transfer RNA (tRNA) molecules are approximately 80 nucleotides in length. Their secondary structure includes four short double-helical elements and three loops (D, anti-codon, and T loops). Lineage: Eukaryota; Metazoa; Chordata; Aves; Gruiformes; Rallidae. The record is from RNAcentral.